This 279-nucleotide ribosomal RNA is filed under the name uncultured bacterium. Its description in RNAcentral is "partial 16S ribosomal RNA". It matches the Rfam family "Bacterial small subunit ribosomal RNA", at positions 506 to 784 of the family's 1533-position model. The record is from RNAcentral.
UGCCAGCCGCCGCGGUAAUACGGAGGGGGUUAGCGUUGUUCGGAAUUACUGGGCGUAAAGCGCGCGUAGGUGGUUUGUUAAGUGGGAUGUGAAAGCCCUGGGCUCAACCUGGGAACUGCAUUCCAAACUGACAGACUAGAGUACGAUAGAGGGAGGUAGAAUUCAGAGUGUAGCGGUGAAAUGCGUAGAUAUAGGAAGGAAUACCGGUGGCGAAGGCAUCUCUCUGGGUCGAUAUUGACGCUGAGGCGCGAAGGCGUGGGUAGCGAACGGGAUUAGAUA